GCCCUAACAAACCCUGCCUUCCUCCUCCCAUUUCCCCACAGACCCCUGCGUCUUGCUUCCAGAUCUUGCAGGUGCAGAGGCGGCCAUGGAUUCGGUGACCUAGAUCGAGAAACGUCCAGUGCAGGCAGUAAGCUUGUUGGAUUACGUCAGUAGGAUCUCAGGCCGUAUAUGAGCCAAUUACUUGGGUUGAUGGCGCUACCUCCUCUCAACAAAAAAAGGCUGCUGAAGAGCAUGUGUUCAGGCUAUUUUCUAAUAAAUCUAACUCUCUAGGUUCAAGCUAUCGAUACUUGCUGGAGAUGAGACUGGUGACACUGAUUUCAUUCUUUUUGGACGUCAAGCUCAACGGCUUGUCAAAAAAAAACAGCUGAUACCCUUGUGGCUGAUAACCCAAUUGGUUUUAUCCCAGAUGAACUUACAAGGCUUCUCGAAAAGACUUUCACAUGGAGCGUCGGUUUUAUAGACAGCACAACAGACUCAGACAAAAUCACCUUUUAAGUUAAUGCAAUAGUGGGAGAGGUGAAUGAGGGUGGUGCUGUCAUUCCAGCAACACCAGGAGCAUCCCAAACAUCAUCUACUAUGUCCUCUUUGCUUGCUGCUACUGAAGCUAGCCUUCCCUCAAACACCACACCAACUAAAAUAACAUUGGGUGUUCCUGAGCCAGCGGACACUCCACAGAGUACAAGGAACAAUGCUCAUGAUCAGGAUAAGACCUUGAUUGCUGCUCCAGAUGCACCUGGUAAUUCCUCUACAAAGACACAAAAAAGCACUACAAAAAAGGUCCCGUCCAUCCCCUAGGAAGAAAGUUGCUAAGAAGCUAUUUACUGGUGAAGAAACUGCAGAUGACGGUGGUGGCAAUGACAGUGGUGCAGCCACCUCUAGCCAGAACAGGGAUGCAUGAGCAGUGAAAUUCAUGUUGAUUCUGUCUCUACCAGUUGCUUUUUGUGUACCCUUUGUCUGGCAAGAAGGGUUCGAUGCUUAGGAUUUGGAGUCUGCAUGGACCUCGCAAACUGUGUAGUAUGGUCAGUUAGUAUUCAAAGCUACCAGCUAGGUUGUUUGGUAGCUAUGGAUACUUGUUGUUGCAUGUUGAUUUAUAGAUGCCUCAGAUGUGCUGUAAUAUUGCUGCUCCAAAUGCCGGAUAGACACCUACUCCCUCCGUCCUAAAAUGUAAGUCAUUCUGCUUUGUCCUAAGUCAAAGUAGUCUAAGUUUGACCAAAUUUAUAGAGAAGAAUACUAACAUCUAAGACAUCAAAUAACUAAAUUAAGAAAUUAUAUUUCAUUGUGGAUCUAAUUAUUCUUAUUUGACAUUCAAAAUAUUAUUACUUUUUUCUAUAAACUUGGUCAAAUUUGGAACAGUUUGAUUUAGGACAAACCAAAAUGACUUACAUUUCAGGAUAGAUGGAGUAUAUAUCCUGAUGAUGACAGGAUAAAUUUGUGCUUGGAUGUAAACAUGGUGAUUGAAUGUGUUGUGAUGUUCACGAUUGAGAUGCCGGACAAACACCAUAGGAGAGCCUGGUGAUGCGGAUGUCUUGUAAUAUUCACUAUUCAAUUGCCGGUCAGACACCUAAUGGCUAGGAUAGUUUGGUGCUCGGAUGUGUUGUAAUAUUUAUGAUUCAAAUGCUGGAUAGACACAUAUAUUAAUCUGUUGAUGGUGUGCUUGCUUCCA
This is an RNA transcript of Panicum virgatum (switchgrass), 1663 nucleotides long. RefSeq lists it as uncharacterized. Lineage: Eukaryota; Viridiplantae; Streptophyta; Magnoliopsida; Poales; Poaceae. The record is from RefSeq and is a predicted model, not a curated record. The transcript is spliced from 7 exons.